Molecule: long non-coding RNA, 209 nt
Filed under: Elaeis guineensis (African oil palm)
Lineage: Eukaryota; Viridiplantae; Streptophyta; Magnoliopsida; Arecales; Arecaceae
Description: long non-coding RNA (EGUI_LNC033157)
Source: RNAcentral
CUCAGGCUUCGAGUGGAUGACCUGUAGAGGCCGGAUGAUCUAUGCGGCUACUUGACAUUAGAAAAAAUCUCAUACCAUACCUAUUAGUAGUAGAAAUCAUCAAUCUACAUAAAGAUAAAUAAAUUCUAAACUCAAUCGAUGAGAUCUAACAGUUAGAUCUGAUUCAAGGCAUUGAUGUGAUCGAUAAAGUUUUUCAUUUACAUCAAUUU